UUAUCUCUGUAGAGUCUGCAUAUCAAUAAGCGGAGGAAAAGAAACUAACUAGGAUUCCCCUUAGUAACGGCGAGUGAAGCGGGAAGAGCUCAAAUUUGAAAUCUUCAAGGUUCUACCUUGACGAAUUGUAGUUUAAAGAAGUGUUUUCGGUUAGAGGAGUUUAGGUAAAAGUUCUUUGGAAGUAGGACAUCAUAGAGGGUGAGAAUCCCGUAUUUGACCAUUUCUUCCUAGCUUUGUGAUACACUUUCAAAGAGUCGGAUUGUUUGGGAAUGCAGUCCAAAAUGGGUGGUAAAUUUCAUCUAAAGCUAAAUAUUGGCGAGAGACCGAUAGCGAACAAGUACCGUGAGGGAAAGAUGAAAAGAACUUUGAAAAGAGAGUUAAACAGUACGUGAAAUUGUCAAAAGGGAAGCGUUUGACACCAGUGUUGUUUUCUCGAAAAUCAAUUAAAAAUGGCCUGGAUUUUGUGUUGUAUUGACUUUAUCAGCUUUCUGCACUUUUUUCUUGUCUUUUUUAAUGCACUUUUCGUUUAACAAGUCAACAUCAAUUUCUUUUGUUGUAAAAGGGUACGAGGAAGGUGGCUUUCUUUUCGGAGAAAGUGUUUAUAGCCUUGUGCCUCUGCAAUCGGAGAGAUUGAGGUCUGCAGCGUAGAUCCUUCGGGGUUAGAUACAUUUGUGCUAAGUUAUAGCUUUUCAUAGACAACUUGUUGACUAUGUUUAGUCUUGUAGCUUACUCGCUUAUGCUAUUUUACCUACGCUUAGGAUGUUGACGCAUGAGAUAUACGC
This 782-nucleotide ribosomal RNA is filed under the name uncultured Neocallimastigales. RNAcentral describes it as "partial large subunit ribosomal RNA". It matches the Rfam family "Eukaryotic large subunit ribosomal RNA", at positions 24 to 634 of the family's 3401-position model. The record is from RNAcentral. Lineage: Eukaryota; Fungi; Neocallimastigomycota; Neocallimastigomycetes; Neocallimastigales.